AUUGUUAUUUUCUCAGGUAAAAUUAGCACUUUGAUCCCACUCGACUUUGAAUCCCUCAUUACCUACAAACUAACCAUCCAAGCUGUGGAUAUAAAUAAUGAUGUGCUGCCCGAUCCAAAACAACAGAAAACCGCCUGGGCCGAGUAUACCAUUAACAUGCAGAACGUGAAUGAUAUCCCUCCGGUGUGUAACCCAUCAAUCUACGAACAGACCAUUUACUCUACCUUGACCGGGAGUGUCCCCAUUGUUACCAUCUCCUGCACUGAUAAAGAUUCUGCUUCCCUCCACUACAGUAUAGUGGGAGGGAACACAAACGAUCGCUUUGUCAGUAUCAGGAAUCAGGUGUACUCGAGGAACACCUCUCCUAUCACAGUGAGGGGGUGAACGACCAAACAACCUUUGAAUUACUGAUACAAGUCACUGACAGUGAAGACGGAAAACAGAGCAUUCAUCUGACGACCACGGCAACAGUCAUCAUCCACGUUGUACCUUGGACAACCACCUUUCCGACCACGACCACACAGCUAACGACACAAAGAAGAGACGUCAAAGUGGUGACUGUGCUGAACACGUACUGGAAGCCACCCAUUUGGUUUGUGACAGUUCUGACAGCUGUAGCGGUCUUGGCUAUAAUAACACUGGCUUUGCUCCUGUGGAAAGUCAUCUCAAGGGCCCCAUGUUACAACCGGCUUGUUCCUCCACAAGAGAUGUCGCAGCCUCUGGUGCAGGACAGGUCACUGACCGACACUGAAUCACUGGAAAAUGAAAGUAAAAAUGUGAGCUCCAAGGGCAAGGAGGACAUACCACCACAAAGUACCCCCAGCCUGCAACAAUUUGAUGGCAGAGCAGUGGAUCCAGGGACUGGCAGAGAUUACCUCUUCAACACCGACACGGGAGCACGGCGCUGGGUUUGAGACAUCGCCAGAGCAAAUACAAGCUGCCUCUCUCUCUGGAAACAUUGCGCGGAUUACGUCCCGAGUCCGUGCAAUCGUCUUAACGUUAAAUCAUGAAACACUGCACGAGGGAGAUGAGGGCGGGUGGCAAGAUUUUCAGACUUUACGUGAUCUUUCUUCGUUUUGUUGGAAGAAUACGAUUUAAACCUUUGCUCGAUUUUGUAGUUGUUGACGACAUGAUUGUGCAUAAAGAUACUCAAAGGGUUUUGGGGGAAAUAGCAGUGACAUGGGGAGCUAAAUCAGCGCCGAAAUAUCAAUACGAGUCAGUAAUAAAACGCUUCAAUUUUUUUUACGUGUAUAAAAAAUAAAAAAAA
Callorhinchus milii (elephant shark) is the source of this 1267-nucleotide RNA transcript. RefSeq lists it as uncharacterized. The record is from RefSeq and is a predicted model, not a curated record. The transcript has 8 exons. NCBI's taxonomy places the organism in Eukaryota, Metazoa, Chordata, Chondrichthyes, Chimaeriformes, Callorhinchidae.